GCUCAGUGUCCUGGAUUUGAGUGGUAGUAGAGUCACCGCUUCCCUCCAGGAUCUGUCCUCUUCGGGGGUUUGCUGGGGAAAGUACAUCCUGUGGCAGUGUCCCAGACCCCAUGGAGUAGCUACUCAGCACCAAAGCAGUGUCUUCAGCUGGUGGUGCUACCCAUAACAGGAGGUAGAGAAGGAAGAUCUUUUACUCACCUUUACAAAGCCCCCAAAACUCUUCUGGUCCAUGCAUUUUCAGUUUCAUAAAUGUAGGAGGAAGACUGCAGUAUCAUGUCACUUAAUGUUGAAAAAGGAGGAAAGGAAAAAAGAAAAGGGAAGAAAGGCAGAAAAACUUACAUGAGGAAGAGACAUGGAAGACAAAGGAUGACGAGGGGGAAGGUAAUCAAGAGGACUAAAGCAUGGGAAAGAAUUGGAGAGAUCAGAGCAAGGGGUGACUAUCACAGCAGGCGGGAAACAGAAGAAUUGGUUACAGACAGAUUUUAUAUUCUCUCCUUAUUUCUUGUUAAGAGGAGUUAGUCAGGAAUAAGUUCCACAAACACCUCUGAAGGGGCUGGAAAAAAAACCCAAAACUACACUGAGAUGGGUGUAUGUCUGUCUUUAAUAAUAGAUAUGAUUGCAGCAGGUGUAAAUAAUUUGAAACAGUACCAGGUAACUUGAGUAUCAAUAGCAGUAAAAAUGCAGCAGCACAGGACUGCCAAGUCUGUGUCCUGUUGGUAUCCAAGGUAAUGGAUGGUUUUGAAUAGGUUAUUAGGGAACUCACUCAGCUUGUGUACUUUAAUAUUAUAUGGUAAUCAGCUAGAAAAGCAGUCUUGUAACAGGGAUUGAAAUUCAGAUUUCCCUCUCCCAGCUAGAUACCUCAGUUGUUGCACUGCAAAGUGAUGCCUUGCUUCCCUGGCCCAAUGAAUGUGUAUUAGUUUGUUUAGAAUAACAGCCUUUCAGCAGGCACAAUGAAAGGCAUUCCUCCCAGCUAGCCUCUGGCCUGGUGACAUCCUGGGAAGUGCUGGCUAGGGAUUCAGUGUUGUCCUCAGGACUCUCCAGGUCUAAGCUCUACCUGUUUAGCUGCUGAGGGGACCUCUCCAUCCUCCAGCCAUGCUUUUGAAAGAUGCCAAAGUCUAAAUGCAGACCCUGCUCCAGCAUAACCCAAGAAUUAAAUGCUUUAGAUGCCAAGAAGGUUAGGGUUAUGGUGUCAGUAAUUGGCAACUCGGGUGCUUCUCAUGCUGGCUAUUAGAGAUUCUGGUCCAAGGUGUGGAUGCUUCUGACAUGGUGGGGAGUGGGGGUACCUGGCCCAGAGCUGGGGGCUCCUGGCUAGGAAACUGGCACCAGAACUUGGGGGUUGCAGCUCUUAAUGUUGUGACAGCUUGGCCUGUGGUAGAUUUAUAGGUACAUCUUGUCUUGGCUGUGUCUGGGAAAACACCAUGUUGUGGAUUUGUUCAUGCUACACAGCAAUGUGUUCACAGGUAAUCCUUGGCAUCACGAGGCUGACUUCUGUCAGGUAUAAUUCCAGCAGUCCAGAGGUUAAUGUACUCUGUCUGUUGUGAUUUUUUAUUUUUUUUUAAGGUGGGGAGAGGGCCAGUGGAGACAUGUAAUGAACAUCGAUAACUGCAUUUAAUUUCCUUGGCAAGUGGAAAAUACCCUUGCUUCUAAAAGUUGUCCUUAAGAUCUUUUCUGUUCAAGCAACCAUCUGUGGGAAAGAAAUGAAGGUGAAGAUAAAAUUCAAGGAAGACACUUGCACAGACCUAUUUGAAAGUGUUUAUUGCCAGGAAACAAGUGCUUCUGAGCCUUUACAGGCUAUGCCUCUGCAACAGCUCUAAAAUAUGCUUGCCUUCAGCUAUAUAAACACUGGUUAACAGAGAGGAAGAAUUAUUUGCACUAAGACUUAUUUAAGGGACACUAGUAGAAGGAAAAGGUUACACAACCAGUUUCUUUUCCUACUUUUCAGUGGUUUCAUUACUAACUCACUACAGACAAUGUUUUGAAGAAAUAAAAUUUUGUUGAAGUAAAACCAAUUCCAUUCUUAUCUGUAGCAGGUCAGCUAUGUGAGGCUUGGAUGUGAGAUUAAGUUAGCAGAGUUUAAUAAGUAUCAUUUGCACAGUGGUAAAUGUGGACAUGGGGAUGAAUAGGCUCUUAGUCAGCAGCCAAUACAUAUGGUGUUGUGACUUGUUGCGACAGGAGAGAAGUCUAAGCUAACUUGCAUGCAGUUUGCCGAUUUUGCCUAUAGCAAAUGCAAAGUAAUACACACUGACAAUUUCUGCAGACCAGCUGAUGCAUAGUGAGUUGUUAAUAGGUGCUGACUUGAUGCUGCUUCUGAGCUCACAAGAUAGUGUAAUGUAGCGUACCACACUGCUCUUUGCUUAGGCUCUGUUUCAUCAGUAAUUUUUUUUCUGGUCUUUCAGUAAGCUUUUAUGGGUUUCAGAUCUCUGUGUAUGCAAAAUAUGUAUUCAUUAGACACGCAGCACCUUACUAUUGCAAGUUAUGCCAAUGUUCAUACUAGCUGGAACAGUCCUGUUUAGAAGGAGGAAUGGUGUAUGUAAGUGGACAGAAACAACAAAGAAAUGAGAGUAAUUGUGAUAAAGGUAGUGGUUACUAAACACAAACUUGUACUAACAUAAUAGGAAAAGCUUGAAACUUGUUCUGUGUGGCAACAAGAUGUCCCCAUCUGAGCGUUGCUGAGACAGGGUAGAACAAAACAAUGCUGUGAGGAAGAUCUGUUGCAGCAGCCUAUGGCAGAAUUUAGCACUGACUACUCAAAAGGGAACUGCUAAAGGUGAAAAGCCAUGUAAGUGGAGAAUGAAAACCUUUCCUUUUCUUUUUCCUCCUCCUCUCCAACCAAUAUGGACAGAUGAAUUCUAACAUUAAUGAAGGGACAGCAUGUGCUUUUGAUUUGGUGAUUGAAAAUGAAUGCUGUUCUGUAUGCGUGAAAGGUUACUGAAUGGACAAUGAGAGACUGGGGGAAAACAAUUAGAGAAAACACAAAACAAGCCUUUUCUGCAUGUCAUUUUAAAUAAAUUGUAUGCAUCCAAUGGGAGCAAGAAAAUGAAUGUAAAUUUAGGAUUUUUUUCCCUCCUGGGUGGUAACACAAGCCAAAGGGAAGAAGAUGAGAAAACCCAUAUGGAAUUUAGAGUGAAAACAAUCCAAUAGGAAAAAAAAUUAAAAUUCUUAUUUGUACUUGAUGUGGUUUAGUCCAUGUUUUCCACUGCAACAUAGAUCACUUAAAGGUCUUACAUGAACUCAUGUCUAAAACGAUCCUUAUUUUCCUUAGAACAGGUCUGAUGUAUUAUUUCUGCUUCCACGAUACUUGUUCUAACUGACCAAAUAAACUUUGCUAGGGAAUAAACCCCACAACUUAAAUGCAACAGCCUGCAAGACUGUUGUUCUUGGCAUAGUUUUAAUGACUGGACAGGCCUUACAUAAGAAAACUUAGUCCUGUCUAGGGUUCAAGCCAUGUGACUGUACAAAUUGGACAAGAUUACUGUUGAAUCAGGUGCAUCUGAAAUAAGAACAACAUUAUUUUGUUGGAAAACUGCAGGUGAAUGAGAAAGGUCACACAUGUAUUAUGUGUUUACAGCACUCUUCACCUGGGAUGCACUAGGAUUUAUCUGUGAAAUUGUGUGUUGCUGAUAUUUCAUACUGUAAAGCCAUUGUAAACAAAUUAGUUAUUAAUAAAACAAAUUUUGAAUUAAUAUUUUAGAUGUGUUAUUUUGGCUAUUGUGCAGUCUAAGGAUUAAUUGGAAGUAUAAUGGAUUGUAACAAAAAAGAAAAAGCCAAACACACAAAGUUACAAAAUCAUUAACACUAACAUUCUCUGGGUAAUCUAUUUUGUUCUUUGUUUUCACUUCAGUUCCUUUUUCUGAUAGGUCAGUAGUCCUGUAUAGGAAGAAAAGGUAAAUUGAAGUAGGAAUGAACAUAUUAGUUUCUUCAGUGCUAGCUACUUGCUUUUUCUUAGCUGAACUUAAGGCUAGCAUGUAGAUAAGCCACUAAGAUGCAGUGUCAGAAUCUUUUGAAGGCAGAAGUCAGCUUAUUUGCACACAGGAUUCUAAAAACAUGUAUGUUUUCUAUUGUGAUGACCUUCUGAGUCAGAGCUGGAAUGUGCAGCGGAAGAGUAGUCAUCUCUGCUGUCCCACAUGGCGCCCUCUUAACCACAAGCUCUUGCUCAGCCUCCUGUUAGUGGGCAUUUGUCCAUUUUUAUAAUUUUCCACAGUCUGAAUGCAAACUGUAGUAACAAAUAGCAUUUUCUAAGCUCCUAUGUAUUACUAGAAUUCUUCAAGGAAUCCCUGUGUGCCUGAUUUUUUUCCCCUACUUUGUAUAUAUCACAGAACACUGACUGAAAUACCCUACUAUGCACAUUGAUUUGUCCUUCUGGAUUUCAUUUGCCAUUUACAAUGAGCAGCUUGCAGUGUGUUUAAAAUGGCUACAACAGGCAGUGCUCUUACUAAGAGUUACUGAUUCUGUCUCUCUCUGUGAAUACUGAUAUAAUGGAUGGUGAUGCCAACUAGAGCUGAUUACUUCCUGCUCUUCAGCACUGCUAUCUCUAUGGAAGUUGAAGCUGCAGACUUUC
Athene cunicularia (burrowing owl) is the source of this 4558-nucleotide long non-coding RNA. RefSeq lists it as uncharacterized. The transcript has 3 exons. The record is from RefSeq and is a predicted model, not a curated record. Lineage: Eukaryota; Metazoa; Chordata; Aves; Strigiformes; Strigidae.